Long non-coding RNA from Zingiber officinale, 771 nucleotides. RefSeq lists it as uncharacterized. The record is from RefSeq and is a predicted model, not a curated record. The transcript is spliced from 2 exons. Lineage: Eukaryota; Viridiplantae; Streptophyta; Magnoliopsida; Zingiberales; Zingiberaceae.
UGUGGGAUUAUUAGCAUGCAUUUACCUUUUGUAAAAUCUGUAUGCGUGCCUUUGAAAUAUAGCAUCUUACAAAAUACAUAGGAAGCGAUAUUGGAUAUAGCAGACAUACCAAAUGCUUGCUCAACUAAAGCUAUUUUUCCUUCAGGAGUGGUAACUUGCGUUGCUGCAGAAGCUUCAACACAAAUUGAUAGCGGGCCGUCAGAUGCAGAAAUUGAUUCGAUGCUUUAAAAUAGGGAUGCAGCUGCAGAGAUAGCAAGAAUUCAAGAAUAUAGAGCUGUGCAUCUCUUAUGUGCAUUCCUAAAUCAAAUUCAAUGAUCAAGUUUUGCGCUGCCCCUACACCAACCAAUUAUGCUCUAAAUCUGGAGGCACGUUGUACUAUUACCUCCAAAUUUUUAGUAAUGGGAGAAAGCUGAGCCUUCACCUUGAUGGUAAAUAUUAGCUCCUGCAAUGUAACAUUUCUUCAAAACCAUGAGGCAACUACAUACUUGCAACCAACGCAGUAAGUGUGCAAGAUGCCAAAUGAUUAUUUGGACUCGUCAUAUUUUUUUAUUUUGCAUAUCGUCUGCUUUUAGUAGAAUGACUGGCAAAAAGCCAUCUGUCUGAAGAAAUGUGAAAUAAGAGACCAUCAAUUCUGAAGAGAGUAUUUUUCAAACAGCUUGAACAUUGAUGGCAAGCAUCUGUGGGAACUUUUUAUAACGUUAUAUUGCUACUUUGGUUGAUGGAAUCGUCCUAUAAUAUUACAUUAUAUGAAGAAUUUGAUUGACAGUUAAA